UACGUAGGGGGCAAGCGUUAUCCAGAUUUACUGGGCGUAAAGCGCGUGUAGGCGGCUGGUUUGGUGUGAUGUGAAAUCUUCCGGCUCAACCGGAAAACUGCAUUGCAAACCGGCCUGGCUUGAGUUUGGGAGAGGGAUGCGGAAUUCCUGGUGUAGCGGUGAAAUGCGUAGAUAUCAGGAGGAACACCGGUGGCGAAGGCGGCUAUCUGGACAGAAACUGACGCUGAGGCGCGAAAGCUAGGGGAGCAAACAGG
This 254-nucleotide ribosomal RNA is filed under the name uncultured bacterium. RNAcentral's name for it is "partial 16S ribosomal RNA". It matches the Rfam family "Bacterial small subunit ribosomal RNA", at positions 524 to 776 of the family's 1533-position model. The record is from RNAcentral.